Molecule: long non-coding RNA, 300 nt
Filed under: Brassica napus (rape)
Lineage: Eukaryota; Viridiplantae; Streptophyta; Magnoliopsida; Brassicales; Brassicaceae
Description: long non-coding RNA (BNAP_LNC010177)
Source: RNAcentral
AUUGAUGACAUCAACAAUUUGACACUCCACAAUUAAUUAUUACACGUAAUACAACCAACACCACACUUUUGUUUAACACAUAAAUAUACAUCUAAUUUUUCUAUACCAUAUUACUGAAAUAUAAUAGGAUUCAAAAUCCACUCACAUCUAGUAAAUACUAAACUUUACUCCAAACCUCAACUCCUUAAUACUAAAUCCUAAACUUUAAACAUCACCUUUCUAUCUAAAUACUAAAUCCUAAACCCAAAUAUAAACCUUAAACCCAAUUAUCAAAAUCUGAAAAUAGUAUAUAAUAUUAUG